AUUGAACGCUGGCGGCAUGCUUUACACAUGCAAGUCGAACGGUAACAGGCCUUCGGGUGCUGACGAGUGGCGCACGGGUGAGUAAUGCAUCGGAACGUACCCAGAGGUGGGGGAUAACGCAGCGAAAGCUGUGCUAAUACCGCAUGUGAUCUGAGGAUGAAAGCGGGGGACCGAGCAGCAAUGUUUGGCCUCGCGCCUUUGGAGCGGCCGAUGUCGGAUUAGCUAGUUGGUGGGGUAAAGGCUUACCAAGGCGACGAUCCGUAGCUGGUCUGAGAGGACGACCAGCCACACUGGGACUGAGACACGGCCCAGACUCCUACGGGAGGCAGCAGUGGGGAAUUUUGGACAAUGGGCGCAAGCCUGAUCCAGCAAUGCCGCGUGCGGGAAGAAGGCCUUCGGGUUGUAAACCGCUUUUGGCAGGAACGAAACGGUGUCCGCUAAUACCGGGCGCUAAUGACGGUACCUGCAGAAUAAGCACCGGCUAACUACGUG
RNAcentral lists this ribosomal RNA (492 nucleotides) under uncultured bacterium. Its description in RNAcentral is "partial 16S ribosomal RNA". It matches the Rfam family "Bacterial small subunit ribosomal RNA", at positions 30 to 507 of the family's 1533-position model. The record is from RNAcentral.